Molecule: long non-coding RNA, 5539 nt
Organism: Gallus gallus (chicken)
Lineage: Eukaryota; Metazoa; Chordata; Aves; Galliformes; Phasianidae
Exons: 3
Source: RefSeq, a predicted model, not a curated record
AUUCAACCCAUUGAGCAAACCAGCGUGAGAGGCUGCACAUCAGUAUUCAAGACGCAAAACGAGGAGCUGCGGGAAGGAGCCUGCUGCAGCAAGAAGCAGGGACAGAGAGUGCUUUCCCAGGGGCAAUCCCUGCAUGCCCUGCCCAGCCCCUGCACUCUGGGGUCACUGUAGGAGGUGACCAGGCUUGCAGUGCUGGAGCAGGGCGCCUUUGAGACAGAGCAUCAGAAGGACUGCCAGCACCGGCAUUAGAGCCAUCUGAGACAGGAAUCAUCUCCGUAACCAACUCGGCCUCCUUGCACUCUGCUGCUGGGCUGUGACCAUGACACUCCGGAUCCUCAUCUUCUCAAAGAUCAAAGAUUUAUCUUGUGGCCUCAGGCUACCUGCAGGUCCUGCCAGAGCCUUCAGCUCUUGUUGAGUGCUUUUUGCUCUGUUUGCACAAUUCAGAAAGCUUCAGACUCUGUAUUUUGCACUUUUGACCUGUUUGUUUUGAUGGCUCUUUAAGUCAGAUUCUUAUUUACAGGCAAGCUUUGUUUUGCCAGCUGAGUGGCUACUUCUAACAUACACGAUGUGACCUGCAGGCUUGAGCUUUCAAAUAGAUCUUGCAUUAAGCUGCACUGGAAGUCAACAGCGAUAGAAAUUCUUGAAAUGAAGCAGCACAAGUGCAGUGGUUUCUCCAGGUCCAUGGUGCACAGCUGCCCUCAUGUUUGAUCAGCACACACCAUUCUGGUCCAAAUCCCCACAGCUGCAUAGCCAGCAGCCAUUCCUCCACUCCCUGCUCAUCGUCUCUGUCAGGCAAUUUCAAGCAGCACGUCAAAACCUUCAUGUUCUUUCUUCAAAGUGGGUGUGGAUUAACAUGAUCCUGGUAGUUAUCAUCAGAGGCUUAAAUGCCUGUUGGAAGUGCUGUACGAGUUGUUGAGCUCUCAGCCCCAUGUUCUGACCAUUUCCAACGGGUGCAGGAGAAAACAUGCUGUCACAAUUCAAGGCCAUUUUUUCCUAAAAGCAAACUCUGCUUCCCUCGGAUUUUCUUCUUUAUGAUUCGAAGCUGACCUGUAAGAGGUGUCCUCAGACUGGGCAGUAAAAUUCACAGACUCUCCUGGGCUAAGAGAAGGGGAUGACAGCACCAUGAAUAUGUAGAUUAUUGGUUAUACUGGCAGUCGCUCUCCCUUUGUCAUCUUUUUGUUCUUGUUGCUUAGGGAGUGGUUGAAUACUUCCCAAUAAACUCUGCUCCAGAGGCAGGACCACUGCUGGAGGCAUUGACCUCUUUCAGAGGUACAAUGUACCUUUCAGAGGUACAGAAAGUCAGUGGCAUCGUGCAGAGAUUGACAGGGCAAAAAAAGAGGUUCUGAAGAUCAGUCUGCCAGUGUGUGUGAGUAGCAGUUCAGGCCCUCUUUAUUUGGGAUUGCUAUCGUUUCACAAAAGAAUUGUUCUUUCUCUGGGACCAGGGAAUAGUUCCCAUAAUUAGAACCUGUUGGUGUGUUUUAAGUUGUUAAAAAACUACAAUAAGAAUGGAAGGAUUAUUGCCCUUUCACCUUGUGUGGGCUUCAGCUAUGCUUGAACUUUUGAGGGCUGCAUUUUGAUCACUGACUGCUCAAAGCAAGAAAUUUGCAGGCUUGAGCUUCAGUAGAAAUGACCCCAUUCUGCAUUUCUCCCCUCACAAGCAGCAGAACAGCAGCUGCUCCAUGCCUGUAUGUGGCAUGGAGUAUGUCUAUGAGCUGCUGGCCUGUGGAUGUGCUUAUACUAAAGAACAAACAAACAAAAAACCCUCUUAAAUAUGUAAAAUUAUGUCAAGUUGAUUUUUAAAAAGGAAAAAAAGUCAUAUAUUUCACUUUUUUUUCUUCUCAUUUUCCCCUACUUGUAACAGAGGUGUCUGGCUUGUGUUUUAACAUGCCAACAUGUGGAUUGUUCCCCACUGAGAAAGACCCAUCGUUGUGUCAGAGUGAGACUUUGGUACAGCACAAAUACUGCCCUGCACCUUCCCUAAAAGAGCCCCUAUGUAUCACAAGGCCUAAUACAGCCUUAUCAGCCUGUGAAAAAGAAAUUGUGAAAUCUCUGCCCAUGACAGAAGCCAGCCUCAUUUUACAGCACAAAGCAAAUUAACUGGCCUCUAUGAUGUAGGUGGGUUUUUGUCUCUGAGUGCAUUUCAGCAAUCAUUAGAUAGGAGACAAUCCAUGCAGUAUUAUCUGUUGAGCAUCCCGUACAAUUUACAUUUCAUUUUUCAAAUCGUUUCCAGUCUCCCCCAAUUAAACCAGCAUUUUUACUGUGGUACGUGUACUGCUUAAGAGAUGAGGCUUUUUCCUAUUAGAGUCUUGUCAUUUUAUUUUGGCUUUGAAUUUUUAAACAAAUGUAAUAAAUUGUGACAGAGCACUGUGUUCACCCAACAUCUGGAUGCUUUUGUACAUUUCACAGUUAUCUCAGCCUCGUUAUGAUAAUUAAUACCAAUUUACCACGAUUCAAGCCAGCAUUUCUGCCCUUUACUAGAAUGAAGAAUUUUAAAAUCUUUUUCCCAGCUAUGGUUAUAGAUACGUUAAAGGGGUUUACAGGUGUUGAUAUGACUUUGGCUCAUUUCAAGCUUUGGAAAGCCACUGUGUUUUCCCACUGGUGCCAUGUCAUGCAGUCCUUUCCCAGGGGAGUCUGCCACCACCAUAUCUGCCUCCCUUCUGUCAACAGAAGGGACAUCUGCUGGCAUCUGUGGGUGCUGUGCGACAUCCUGUCCAGAUUCUGUACAGAUAUAGACACUCAGACUUGUUAUAUUCAUCCUCUUAGAUCUGGGCAUGACCAGCAAUCUGAAUGCAGAAAGGUACCUGGUAUUUGCAGUUCCACUAGUUCCAGCUAAUUAUUAUUGCUUAUUCUUAAUGCCCAUGGUCUUGUAGGACCUCACUGCAAUGUUUUGUUUUUCAGCAGCUUAGAAAAACAGUGGAAGACAUAAAAAAGCUUUUGGUACUGAUUGAUGUCUUCAGCCUGUGAGUUAAGCCAUUUGGCUGGAGUGGGGACACCUCUAUGCAGGUAUCCAGGACUAUUUUCAGGAGCAGUACCAGACCAUAACUUGAGUCACUGAGUCUCUGCACCAUAGUAGAUCAAAAGAAAUCCAGUAUUUCCCAUGAAAAGGUUCAGGAAGUGAAUAAACUGUGACAGGAGGAAAGGCAGUAGUGAUAUAGGCCUUGAAAACAUCGUGAGGUCUCUCCUUUUCCAGGAAGGACAGUGAGAUCAUCUCAUGUUGUUGUGCUUUAACCCAGCAGGUAGCCAAGCACCACUCAGCUGUUUACUCACUUGUCCCCCUUCCCAGUGGGAUGAGGGAGAGAACUGGGGAAAAAAAAUCAAAGUGGAAUUCGUGAGUUGAGAUAAAAACUAUUUACCAGGAUAGAGAAAAGGAAGCAGAAAAAAAGGGUAAUGGUUAUGACAAUUAUAUAUAUAUGUGUAACAAAUGAUGCACAAUUGCUCACCAUCAAAGUCCUGGUAGUCCCCAAGCAGCGUCAGGCCUCCCAGCGAACUCUCCCUUUUUCAAGCUUUCCUUCCGCAUGAUAUCCUAUAUUACGGAAUAUCCCUUUGGCCAGUUUAGGUCAGCUGUUCUGAUUCUGUCCCCUCCCAGCUCCUUGGGCCCUCCAGCCCUCUGACUGGCUGAGCAGUAGGAGAAGCUGAGAUAACGAAAACAUGCUUGACUCUGUACAGCACUGCUCAGCAACAACUAGAAAUGUCUCAUCAACAUUGUUUUUCUGCUAAAAUGAAAACAGCAUCAUACCAGACACUAUGAAGGAAAUCAACUCUGUCCUAGCUGAAACUAAGACACGUGAUCAUCAUGCUGUUUUGAUUGCUAUAUGCUUGUUUCUGGUACAGUAAAAUCUGGAUUAGGCCUCUGAAGUGCCUCACUAAAAAUUAAUAGCAAAGCAAUAUUGUAAAAAUCCAAGUACUCCACAAAACAGUGAUUCCCUUUUCAAAGACUGGCUGUAUGCACUCCUUUAUUGUAACAUACUCCAUGUGUAUGAAAUGGAUUAGGGGGAUAAGGACAAAAUGUACCUUACAGACAGUGCUGCCAAAAAACAACAGCUAAUUUUUGGCUUUAUAGGCAGUCCAAUGGUGGAGUGUUUCUCCUCGCGGGCACAUGACUGUGAUCCUAAGGGACAAGUUCCCUCAAGGAAGAGCUACUUUUAAUGAGUUCCCUUCUUGAUGGCAGUUUGUUUCAUCCCAACUGAGUUAGAGCUACGUAGAACAGGGUUUUUGGAUGACCGUAGAUUCCUUAGUUUAAGCCUGUUGCCUACUUUUUUAAAGUGUCCAUGAAGGUAAUUACUUCUCUGUUUUUCUAUGAGUCAUCACUUCAUCUGUUGCAUGAGUAAAAGGUAGGUUGACUCAAUCCAACUUCUGCAGAACCUUGAUGAACAAUACAUUGAUUAAGCCUUGUUUUCAGCGUAGAGUAGAAUUCAUCUUGAGAAAACAAAAGCAAAAUAAAAAUAUCAGUAAUUUGUUCUUUUCUUUAGCUGUCUUUGGACUUAGCUGAAUUGCAGAACAGUAUGGAGAGUCUCAAUCAUUUCUUUUUGUUUGUUGGUUUGACUAUACCAAAUGUGUUAUGGAGAACUGUAAUGAAAAUGUACCCAGAGAAAAAAGACUUAUGGAAGCUUUUUGUUUUAGUCAACAAAUACUUGCCACACCUGAACAUUAUUUUAUUGCCAAGUGGAUUGGGGUUACAGAAAAAAAGUUUUUUAAGUACAGUAAUAUAUAAUAUUAAUAAUAUCUCUUUCUGGAAGUUUCUAGACUGUUCCCAGGCAUAACCUUCACCAAUGUUAUAUGGAGAUCUUCAUGCAAACUUAUCAGCUUUGAAAAGGGACGAUGAGCUGUUAUGAAUUGUUCUGUACUGGAAGGAGGAAGAGGCCUGUGGCAGAACUACACAGACAAAAGCUUUCCUUUGGAGCUUACCAGUUUGACUAGGACUGAAUUGUGGCAAAGGCCUGGGGGAAAAACCCUUUCAAAUAAGUCUAACAUGUGCAUCUCAGGAAAAGCUUGAUGGAACCUAGCAGUGUGAAGAUUGAAUAGCCUGGUCAAAAAAAGACGAAGAUAAAGGAAUGAUAGAGAAGUAGUCUGAGUAAUUCCUCUGGAGGAUGUUUCGAGUUAUAUUUGCUGAAGGCUGUUUCAUCUUCCUGGCAAUCUUGAUUGAAAUAAAGUUGUACAUACUAUAUUUCAAACAUCCUUAUCUAUGGUAUACACAAAGAGCGAAUCUUAAAUUUCUAUGUCUGUAUAUGAGUAUAUGUUCUACUGCCUGUGAAACAAAAAAUGAUAAUUGAGAUGAUCUGCCAGAGGAGCUGAAGGAGCUGAAGUCUACCCAAAUGAAAUACAGCCAGUAUUAUCUGAGUACGGUAACUUUGGGUUUUUUUUGUUUUUUUUUUUUUUUUGUCUGAAGAAGAUCCAUCAUGUAUGUCAUCAGGAAGUAAAUAGAAGCUGUGUAGGACAAACCAUUUGUAUCUCAGUGUGCAGAGCUACAGAGCUGCCAGGGUGAUCAUCUUCUAACUUUGUUCCUGUAUGCUUGGUUCUCUGAAUUAUAUUUUUACAUGUA